CCAAGGUUUUUGUAUAAAAAUCCUUGGAAAUAAAGAAAACCUUGGAAACUACCUCGGAAUUAAACACUCUGCCAAAAAUCAGCUCGGAAAAAGCUUGGAAAUAAGAACUUUGUCAUUUUUUUGCUUGGAAAAGAACUUAGAAAAUUUACGUAAAAUUUGUUGGAAACACUUUGCCAAUAUUUAGCUUGGAAAUGACCUCGGAUAAUUGAACUUAACUAAAUUUCAUCUCGGAAAAUGUUAAGACAUAAUCAUGAUUUAACUUAUAAUGGGCAUCAAAAGCAAUAAUCAACAGUUAAAGCAAACUAAGAUAACAACCCGACUGUAGAUUGCCAAUGGAUAUUUUUUAAUCCAUGGUCAGAGCAAACAAUUGUCCAACAGCAUGGAAAGGAGAGAUUUGGUCCAGGGAAUCAAUUUUUAGUAUGGACAUUGUCAAUGGCCAACUUCCUUUUCAAUAAAUUUGUACUUUAAUCUUCUGAAGCCAUUUUUUGGGGAGGAAUCAAUUAAAAAAAUUUAAGUGUGAAAACAUGGAAAAGUUAAAUACAAUGUAAAUUCCUUGUUGCCAUAAAAUACCUUUUAUUAAUGGCUAUAAAGGUAUUGUAACUUAUCAAAAUAAGAUAAAGAUUAUUCAAAUAACUGAUGAUCAGAAAGACUUGAAAAUUUUAUUUUUUUUAUUUUCAUAUUUUUUUUUAUUAUUUAUAAUUAUUGUUACUAGAUAUCUUCUCCAUUUUUAAGAAUAGAUAAAAGAGCAAAACUUAUAAUUAUAGAAAAAGAAACAAUCAGUGUUUAUGUCUAUUAGUUUCCAAAUGCAUCAGUAUUUUUCCUGCAGUUUCUUUCUAUAUAUAGACUUAACUUAGGGUUUCUUGACAGCCUGUAAGCAACACUGAAAUAAGAAUGCUAUUAAUCUUUAAUAUAUGUUUUAUGCCAUAUAAAAUAGUAUAUUCUACUAAGCAAGUCUGUGACAUACAUUCAGAUUACAAUUUACUCUGCCAUUAAUUAUGUGUACAAUAAACAUAAAUAGUCAUUAAUUGUCCUUUAAAUAUAAUUAUGUACAAUUGAAUGUCUGAAAUAUAAUAACCAGUAUGCUUGUUAAUUUCUUAUAAUUAGGAUAAAUAAAUACUGCAUCCACUAAGAUUUCACACACAGAAUAAUUAACACACUGAUCAGAUAAAACUAAUGGCACCCCAGGUGGUUCCCUUUAUCUAUGCAUGAUCAAUCUUCUCAUUGAGCAUUCUGGGAUAGACCAGAUUGUUCCAUGUGAUUGUUCAGGGGGAGUCUGGGUUUUUAUACAAUCCAAAACAGUCUAAAAUGACACUGCAACUGUGAUUCUCUUUCAAGAACUUAUUAUAAUUUUCAAGUUUUACUUUUAUUUAUCAUUUGAUAUAUUUGUACCUUUAAUAAAUGUCAAAAAAAAAUGAUGAUGGCUUUGAUAUUUUGGGAUCACCCCUGUUUCACAUUAUGAUUGCCCCUUCAGUUAUACUGUUGAAAAAUUUGAAUCUCAGACAUUAAUGGGUCAAGUGGUUAUAGUUGGAAAUUGUGCAAACCUGGAUUUAUUUAAAGCAAUUAUGGAGAUAUCUUGUUUUAUUAAUGUUAGGGAGCAUAUUUUGGAAUUUUCAAAGAAAACAUUUAUCUAAGUGUGACAAGAUUCAGGAAAUGUUUGGUUGUUGUAUAUUGAACCUAAAGAUCAAUGACCUGGGACAGGAAGAUAAACAAAAGAAACAAGAUAGUUAAAAUGUUCAGAGUCAGCUUGUAAGCAAGUUUGCAGGACUGUUCCAAACUAUCCAGCUUUGCUGUGUUUUAUCAUAGUAUAAAGCAGAGGAAUAUACUGGAAUGUCAUUGGCAUUGGCACCUUCAAAGUCAAGUGAUUAAGGAAGCCAACUGAAGACCUGAGGAAAGGCUUCAAGGAAUAUACUACAAAAUUGUAUCCUGGAGCAUUUUCCACAUGUGACCCCUGUGAUGGUGAGGGAAAAACUAAGGGACACUUUAAAAUCAUGGAGAGUGAACAGGAAUUCAAAAGAUAGAUAUUUGAAUACAUUAAAAUAUAGCCGGAUACCAAAAAAUUAUAACUGAACAUUGAUUGUAAUAUUUACCAUUAAAGACUAUAACUAACUUAACUUUUCAUUUGUAGUGCAUUACUAUUUACUUCACACUGACAUUAAAUGUUUCAGUGAGUUAUGUGAUCAUUUUUUGCUCUGUAUUAUUAUAAAGAAUUUUCUUAAUUCCUUAAAAGGACAAUAUAAUAAUUAUUGCUCUUUUCAGAAUAUUUCAUUGGAUGUUAUAUUUUCUUAUUUUCCAUGGAUAUUCUAGAAAUUUCCAAGGUUUUUGCUCAAAUAAACCUUGGAAAAUUCUCUGAUGCCCUUAAGUAAGAAUCCUCGAAAAUAUAACAGUAUUCCCAGUUGUGAGAAACUUUCCGAGGUUUUCAUUUAAAAACCUUGGAAAAAAAACCACGGAAACACUUUAAAAAUCCUUGGAAAUCGUUCCAAUACUCCGAGGUCACUCAUUUUCCAAGGUUUUCUAAAAAAAAUUAUUUUACGAGGUUUUUAUUCUGAAAUCCUUGGAAAUCGUUCCAAUACUCCGAGGUCAUACUUUUUACGAGGUUUUUUUUAAUAAAAACUCGGAAAUUUUUUACAAGGUUUUUCACCCUCUCCCUAUUUUUCCAAGGUUUUUUUAAUAGCAAAGUUUUGCAUUUUCUUGUUCCAAUACUCCGAGGUUUUUUUCCAAGGUUUUUGAGCCAAAAACCUUGGAAAAUCUACACCCGGGAU
Molecule: long non-coding RNA, 2759 nt
Organism: Ruditapes philippinarum (Manila clam)
Lineage: Eukaryota; Metazoa; Mollusca; Bivalvia; Venerida; Veneridae
Exons: 3
Source: RefSeq, a predicted model, not a curated record